CUUGCAUUCAUCAGAAAUUUGCUCCUUUUUAUUUAUGAAUAGCAUUCUAUUGCAUAAACAUACCACAGUUUGUUUAUCCAUUCUCCUGUUGAUGACUUCAGGACCUCCAACUGGCUGAGACCCAUAGAACACAUUUGGGUUGUUUCCAGUUUGGGACCAUUAUGAACAAAUCUGCUAUAUAUUUUUAUUUUAUUUAUUUAUUUAUUUAUUUAUUUUGAGGCAGAUUAGCCCUGAGCUAACAUCUGCUGCCAAUCCUCCUCUUUUUGCUGAGGAAGACUGGCCCUGAGCUAACAUCUGUGCCCAUCUUCCUCCACUUUAUAUGUUGGACGCCUACCACAGCACGGCUUGAUGAGCUGUGCCAUGUGCGAACCCUGGAUCCGAGCUGGCGAACCGUGGGCCACCAAAGGAGAAUGUCUGUGCUUAACUGCUGUGCCACCAGGCUGCCCGGUUGUGAACAUUUUUGUAUGAGAGUCUUGCGGUCAGAUGCAUUCUUUUUUCUUGGGGUUGGAGAAGUUGGCGGCGCGAUACUGUCAAUGACUCUUGCUGACCAUUAGAGGGCAGACUGACUCCACAGCGGUCCGGAACAGCGGCCCAGCGGUCAAGGGCUCCAAAACCCUCUCCCCAAUUUACGCCUCCGCUGGUCAUUUCCAGCACCAUCUCCCAGCACUACCACCAACCCCAUUUUAACAAUCCUCCUCAACACAAAACAAACACGCAAUCACAGUCCAGGAGCGGCCCUGAGGUCGCUCCUCUUUCCCCCUCCAGCCACCUACACGCUCUUCUUCC
This 786-nucleotide long non-coding RNA is filed under the name Equus caballus (horse). Its description in RNAcentral is "lncRNA (ENSECAG00000058205.1)". Lineage: Eukaryota; Metazoa; Chordata; Mammalia; Perissodactyla; Equidae. The record is from RNAcentral.